RNAcentral lists this ribosomal RNA (253 nucleotides) under uncultured bacterium. Its description in RNAcentral is "partial 16S ribosomal RNA". It matches the Rfam family "Bacterial small subunit ribosomal RNA", at positions 524 to 776 of the family's 1533-position model. The record is from RNAcentral.
UACGGAGGGGGCUAGCGUUGUUCGGAAUUACUGGGCGUAAAGCGCACGUAGGCGGCUUUGUAAGUUAGAGGUGAAAGCCCGGGGCUCAACUCCGGAAUUGCCUUUAAGACUGCAUCGCUAGAAUUGUGGAGAGGUAAGUGGAAUUCCGAGUGUAGAGGUGAAAUUCGUAGAUAUUCGGAAGAACACCAGUGGCGAAGGCGGCUUACUGGUCCGGUUCUGACGCUGAGGCGCGAAAGCGUGGGUAGCAAACAGG